UGGUUAUUUAUUGCUCUAUAACAAACCAGUCUAAAAUUUAGUGACUUAAUAUGACCAUUUUAUUUUGCUCAUGAUUCAUGGGUCAGAAGUUUGGAAAGGUCUUGGCUAGAAGGUUCACCUCUGAUGCAUGUUAUAACUAGAUGGUUGAGGCUGGAAGAUCCAGUUCCAGCAUGGCUUCUUCAUUCUGAUGCCCUGGUGCUUUGUGGUCAUGUCCUUUCUUCACAUGUCAUCUCAUCCUUGUGGGCAGUUAAGCUACCAAACCAUUAAGGGCUAAGACUGGAACAGGUUUAGCAUUAUUUCUACUGUGUCCUGUUGGGGCAGUCACAGGAGUCAUCCAGAUUCAAGGGAAUGGAGAAAUAGACUUUGUAUCUUGAUGGGGGAAUGAAUGGCAGGGUCAUGUUCCAGAUGAUUGUGUGUGGCCAUCUUUGGAAAAUAUAAUCUGUUAUGCAUUAUGUCCAAAAGUGCCUUGGCAGUGAUGAUGAGGAAAAUUAUAAAAGUGCAAUAAGAUUGCAUAUUUAGAGCUAAAGUGAGCUAUUUUUGUCUGUCAAAUUGACUGUUUUAAGAGUUCCCAUUUCUAGGAAAGUUAUAGGGAAACAGUCCUUAUACUGUUGGAAGAGUGUGGUUUGGUAGUGCUUUUGUGAAAGAGAAAGGAAUAAAAUAUCUCUGAAUUUAAAAAUACGUAUGAUUUGAGGAGUUCCCAUCGUGGCUUAGCAGAAACAAAUCUGACUAGCAUCCAUGAAGACACAGGUUCGAUCCCUGGCCUCCCUCAGUGGGUUAAGGAUGUGGCGUUGCUGUGAGCUGUGGUGUAGGUCACAGAUAUGCAACUUGUAUCCCGAGUUGCUGUGGCUGUGGUGUAGGCCGGCAGCUGCAGCUCCGAUUGGACCCCUAGCCUGGAAACUUCCAUAUGCCGCGGGUGCGGCCCUAGAAAACACACACAAAAGAAGUCUUGUUUAUUUUUUUUCCAGUGGUCUCUGAGAAUUAUGCUGUCAUUUCUUCUUGUGAACUAGGUUUUUGCUUUUUUAAAGUUGAAAAAACCCAAAAGAUAAUUUCAUGACACAGUGAAAGUUAUACAAAACUUAAAUUUCAGUGUUCAUAAAGAAUGUUUUAUUGAAACACAGCCGUGCUUAUUCAUUUACGUAUUAUCAAUGGUAGGUGUUUUUUGGUUUUUUUUUUUGUUUGUUUUUUGUUUUUUUUUUUCUACAACAGCAGAAUUGAGUAAUUGGAACAGGGACUAUAUGGCCCUCAAAGCUUAAUAUUUAUUAUUAUCUAUAUGGUAAAUUUGCCAAUACUUGUUCUAAUUUGCUUGAUGCUUGGUUUAUAUAAACCACUUCUCUACUCUGCCUUUCAUAAGAGAAUGAGAUACAGACCUCAAUUUAUGGGGAUAAUGUCCUGUUAUAUUAUGUGAAAAGAAAAAGAAUUUAGAGUAAAAUUUAGAAUGUGUAAUAUGACACUGUGUAUGUCAAAGGGCUAGAUAUUAAAAAGUCUGAAAAGCCAUUAACUUAUUUUAUCUCUGGGAAGUGGGAAUAUGCUUGUCAGCCAUUAUUUUUGAAGUUUUGUUUACAAAAAUAAGUGCUGUUAGUAAAAAAACAUUAUGGGAAAAAAGAAGCAAUACAUUCUUCGACUUUCCCCUCUGCCCCCUACAACUUUUUAUUUUAAAAAUGUUCAAACUUACUGAAAUGUUGAAAGGAUGUACAGCAGAUACCUAACUCUUCUAGAUUCACCAGUUGUUAACAUUUUGGCACAUUUUCUUCCUCUAUCUGCAUUUCUCUCUCUCACAUACACAUACACACAUUUUUACAGGUUGCGUGUACAUAUUUUUAAAAAAACACUUGAAAGCUCAGCAUGCAUCUUCUAAAAACAAGGACAUUCUCCUUAAUAGUCACAUUUAUAACACUAACAGUAAUUACACAUUUGAAUUUUCCCAGUUGUGCCAGUAUGUCUUUCAUAAGUAGGUUUUUUUUUUCUUUGAUUCAGCAUCCAAUUAAGGUUCAUGCAGUGGAUUGCUUUUUGAUUACUUUUAGCCGACUGUACAUUCUGUAUUCAUUAUCUCUCACUGGAGCAACUUAGCAUUAAGAAAAUAUUAGAUUACUAUGGUGCUAGGUGAGGUCUCAUUCAUACCUGAGGCCUUGAUUUGGGUAAGGGCCAAAUUGUGCAAGACUUUGUGUAUAUCAUGUAAAGGAUUUUGGUGGAUCGUCAUAGAAGUAUUGUAGGAAGCUUUUAUAAAGAUAUGACAUGUUCAAAUUUGUAUAAUAUAUAAAACUAACUUUUGAGGGAAAAUAUUUUAGUAUAUUACAAUUUGCUACAAAAUGAUAUACAUAGCCUUGAACAAAAGUGUAAAUACAUUUUUGAGAUAAUCCGGGAAAGCCAAACAUGAAGUGAUUAUUGGUUAUUAUUAAGGAAUUAUUGUUAUCAUGUGUGAUAGUGAUAAAGAGGUUCUAUUAAAAUUCUUUUAAUCUGUUCAAGGUCAAUAAAAUAAUAUAACAUCUGGUGUUUUUUUUGAAGUGCAUCAGCAGAAAAGUAGCAUAGGAUUACAUGAAACAAGAAUGACAAGUUUUGGGAGUUCGUCUUGUGGCUCAGUGGGAACAAAUCUGACAUCCAUGAGGACGCGGGUUCGAUCCCUGGCCUUGCUCAGUGGGUUAAGGAUCUGGUGUUACCGUGAGCUGUGGUGUAGGUUGCAGAUUGUGGCUUAGAUCUGGCAUGGCUGUGGCUGUGGCAUAGGCCAGUGGCUACAGCUCCGAUUGGACUCCUAGCCUGGGAACCUUCAUGUGCUGCAGGUGCAACCCUAAAAAG
Molecule: long non-coding RNA, 2790 nt
Filed under: Sus scrofa (pig)
Lineage: Eukaryota; Metazoa; Chordata; Mammalia; Artiodactyla; Suidae
Description: lncRNA (ENSSSCG00050054945.1)
Source: RNAcentral